GCGCGAGUGGCGGAAUUGGCAGACGCGCUAGAUUUAGGUUCUAGUGUCUAAGGACGUGCGGGUUCAAGUCCCGCCUCGCGCAC
This 83-nucleotide transfer RNA is filed under the name Actinomycetota bacterium. RNAcentral's name for it is "tRNA-Leu". It matches the Rfam family "tRNA". Rfam says of the family: Transfer RNA (tRNA) molecules are approximately 80 nucleotides in length. Their secondary structure includes four short double-helical elements and three loops (D, anti-codon, and T loops). Further hydrogen bonds mediate the characteristic L-shaped molecular structure. tRNAs have two regions of fundamental functional importance: the anti-codon, which is responsible for specific mRNA codon recognition, and the 3' end, to which the tRNAs corresponding amino acid is attached (by aminoacyl-tRNA synthetases). tRNAs cope with the degeneracy of the genetic code in two manners: having more than one tRNA (with a specific anti-codon) for a particular amino acid; and 'wobble' base-pairing, i.e. permitting non-standard base-pairing at the 3rd anti-codon position. The record is from RNAcentral. Lineage: Bacteria; Bacillati; Actinomycetota.